Molecule: transfer RNA, 68 nt
Filed under: Marmota monax (woodchuck)
Lineage: Eukaryota; Metazoa; Chordata; Mammalia; Rodentia; Sciuridae
Description: tRNA.Gly
Source: RNAcentral
GGAAUGUGGCUCAGUGGUAGAGCGCUUGCCUACCACUCAUGAGGCAUUGGGUUCGAGGCUCAGCACCA